CCUACGGGGGGCAGCAGUGAGGAAUAUUGGUCAAUGGGCGGAAGCCUGAACCAGCCAAGUCGCGUGAGGGAAUAAGGCCCUACGGGUCGUAAACCUCUUUUGCCGGGGAGCAAGGGCCGGGACGCGUCCCGGCCCGGAGAGUACCCGGAGAAAAAGCAUCGGCUAACUCCGUGCCAGCAGCCGCGGUAAUACGGAGGAUGCGAGCGUUAUCCGGAUUUAUUGGGUUUAAAGGGUGCGUAGGCGGACUGUCAAGUCAGCGGUAAAUUACGGGGGCUCAACCUCCGCCCGCCGUUGAAACUGACGGU
This 305-nucleotide ribosomal RNA is filed under the name uncultured bacterium. Its description in RNAcentral is "bacterial SSU rRNA". It matches the Rfam family "Bacterial small subunit ribosomal RNA", at positions 338 to 640 of the family's 1533-position model. The record is from RNAcentral.